GCAAAGGUAGCAUAAUCAUUAGUUCUUUAAUUGUGAUCUGGUAUGAAUGGCUUGACGAGACAUAAGCUGUCUUAGGAGUGUUGUAAAUUAAUUGAAUUUGGUUUUUGAGUUAAAAUUCUUAAAUGUUUUUAUGGGACGAGAAGACCCUAUAGAGUUUAACAAUUUCUUGUAUUGUAUGUUGUUUGUUUAUUUUAAUUGAUUAAGGUAAAUUGUUUUGUUGGGGUGAUGGGAGGAAAUAUUUUAACUCCUCUUUGUUUUUGUAUAUUUAUUUAUAUCUUUUUUGAUCCAUUUAUUUUGAUUAUAAGAUUAAAUUACCUUAGGGAUAACAGCGUUAUCUUCCUUGAGAGUUCUUAUUGGCGGGGAGGUUUGCG
This 371-nucleotide ribosomal RNA is filed under the name Nasutitermes parvonasutus. RNAcentral's name for it is "partial 16S ribosomal RNA". The record is from RNAcentral. Lineage: Eukaryota; Metazoa; Arthropoda; Insecta; Blattodea; Termitidae.